CCCUUAGACGUUCUGGGCCGCACGCGCGCUACACUGACGGAGCCAGCGAGUAUAAACCUUGGCCGAGAGGUCUGGGAAAUCUUGUGAAACUCCGUCGUGCUGGGGAUAGAGCAUUGUAAUUAUUGCUCUUCAACGAGGAAUUCCUAGUAAGCGCAAGUCAUCAGCUUGCGUUGAUUACGUCCCUGCCCUUUGUACACACCGCCCGUCGCUACUACCGAUUGAAUGGCUUAGCGAGGCUUCCGGAUUGGUUUAGAGAAGGGGGCAACUCCAUCUUGGAACCGAGAAGCUAGUCAAACUUGGUCAUUUAGAGGAAGUAAAAGUCGUAACA
RNAcentral lists this ribosomal RNA (328 nucleotides) under uncultured eukaryote. RNAcentral's name for it is "partial 18S ribosomal RNA". It matches the Rfam family "Eukaryotic small subunit ribosomal RNA", at positions 1470 to 1796 of the family's 1831-position model. The record is from RNAcentral.